AGUAUUUUUCCGUUUACUCCUGAUGAGAAACCAACUGCCACGAAUGAUUUAUCAUCGAAUAGAUAUGUGACAAACACCUUGAGGAUUGAUUCUAAACAACGUUUGCCAUGUUUCUGUCGAUAUUAUGGAGCUAAUUUGUAAAAAAGUUUGGCGUUGUAGUGACUGCAUUUUCGUUUUGUUUUUUUUGCCAAACGUGAUGAACAAAACGGAGCUAUUUCUCCUACACAAAUAAUAUUUUUGGAAAAAAUAAACAUUUGCUAUCUAACUGAGAGUCUCGUCAUUGAAAACAUCCGAAGUUCUUCAAAGCACCCAAGCGGCUGUGGAAGGGUCACGUAACGGCAUGGUUUAGCAGGGGGGAAUGUGAGGGAUGGCCGGUGGUAGCUGGUCCCCUACAAGAAGGUGAGGUACCGGAGGUCCCUCCGCCCCCUCUGGACAUUGAGGGGUCCCCGGCGUACACAGUACGAGCUAUUCUGGACUCGAGACGCCGGGUGAGGGGCCUGCAGUACCUCAUGGACUGGGAGGGGUACGGUCCGGAGGAGAGGUGCUGGGUACUGGGGAGGGACAUUUUAGAUCCUUCACUCUAGAGGGAUUUCCACCGCCUCCACCCAGAUCGCCCUGGCCUCGCCCUUCGGGUCGCGCUCGAGGCCAGGGUCGGCGCACUGCGGGAGCCGCACGUCGGGGGGGGUACUGUCACGAAUUCCGCCGAAGAUGGUGCCUCUUCCUGUUCGGGCGGCACUCGGCGGUCUUCGUCCCCGGCCUACUAGCUGCCAUCGAUUCCCUUUCUUUUGUUUCUGUUAGUUUAGUCUAAUUGGUUACACCUGUUUUGAGUUAACUUCUUGCGUCGAGCCAUCCCGGAUCCGGGAUCGUGAAUACAGCCUCAAGCUCAUUACCAUAACGCAACGUUAACUAUUCUUGAAAAUCGCAAAUGAAAUGAAAUUAAUAUGCUAGCUCUCAAGCUUAGCCUUUUGUUAACAACACUGUCAUCUCAGAUUUUCAAAAUAUGCUUCUCAACCAUAGCAAAACAAGCAUUUGUGUAACAGCUAGCGCAGUUAGCGUAGCAUUUAGCGUAGCAUUUAGCGUUAGCAUCAGCAGGCAACAUUUUCACAAAAACCAG
Long non-coding RNA from Oncorhynchus tshawytscha (Chinook salmon), 1114 nucleotides. The record is from Ensembl. Lineage: Eukaryota; Metazoa; Chordata; Actinopteri; Salmoniformes; Salmonidae.